AUGGCUUCAUCCGGUUCCUUGACGAGGCCGCCGUGUGCUGACCGUGAAGACAUGCCGAACAAGUGGGAGAACGCCAAUUUGGACGAGAUGAAGGAAAAAGAUAUGAAAACCCCAUCAUGUUGGUGUGGAGAUGUUAGCAAGGUGAAGGUGUCCACCGACCGCAAGAAGUCAAGGACGGAAGGGAGAAGAUUUUGUGUGUGUCCCAACUAUGCACAUGACCGGGCGCUUCCAACAAACGCCUAUGACGUACCACCGUUAUGGUCAAAGAGUAAUCUCAAAUUUUGUCCAACUUCAACUCAUAAUCCUAACAACAAAUUUGUUUAUCCUAUGCAGUCACCGCCUCCUCUUUGCAAGUACUUCACAUGGAUAGAUCAAGAUGUUCUAGAGGAUGUUAAAAAGGACCAAUAUCAAGAUUGUCUUAGGAGGCAACGGCUGUACGAAGAAGCAUUCCAAAGAGGCUUGGAUGAAGAGCGUCGUCAGAAGGAGAAGAUGGAAUGA
This 498-nucleotide ribosomal RNA is filed under the name Triticum aestivum (bread wheat). Its description in RNAcentral is "partial small subunit ribosomal RNA". The record is from RNAcentral. Lineage: Eukaryota; Viridiplantae; Streptophyta; Magnoliopsida; Poales; Poaceae.